This 253-nucleotide ribosomal RNA is filed under the name uncultured bacterium. RNAcentral's name for it is "partial 16S ribosomal RNA". It matches the Rfam family "Bacterial small subunit ribosomal RNA", at positions 524 to 776 of the family's 1533-position model. The record is from RNAcentral.
UACGUAGGUGGCAAGCGUUGUCCGGAAUUAUUGGGCGUAAAGCGCGCGCAGGCGGUCCUUUAAGUCUGAUGUGAAAGCCCACGGCUUAACCGUGGAGGGUCAUUGGAAACUGGGGGACUUGAGUGCAGAAGAGGAGAGUGGAAUUCCACGUGUAGCGGUGAAAUGCGUAGAUAUGUGGAGGAACACCAGUGGCGAAGGCGGCUCACUGGCCCGGUACUGACGCUGAGGUGCGAAAGCGUGGGGAGCAAACAGG